CAGGUUAAUUAAAUUAACUUAAUUAUUUAAUAAUCUCGAAUUUAAAAGAGUUAAUUAUUUAUUAAUUUUAUUGUAAAAUAAAUAUUUAUAAUAAAUAAUUUGUAAUGAAAUGUUAUUCGUUUUUAAAUAUAUCUAGUUUUUAAAGAAAAAGAUUUAAUUUUACAUUUAAAGAUUAAUUUUUUAAAUUAUUAAUAAAUUAUUGUUAAAUAUAAAGUUUUUUAGGGAUAAGCUUAAAAAAUAAUAUUCAUAAUUUUAUAAAAUAAGAAUAAAUUAUAGGAAUAAAAGUUUCUAUAGAUAGAAUAAUGUUAUAAUUGAUUAUUUUAAAAAUUUUAUUUUUAGUGAGUUUGAAUUUUUUAUUUAAAUAAAUUAAUAAAUUAUUAUUUAAUAGAAAUAAUGAUUAAAUUAGUAAAAAAUAUUUUAAAUAGUAUAAAGAAUUUAAAGGUAAAUUUAAGGAAUUCGGCAAAAUAAAUUUUUCACCUGUUUAAUAAAAACAUGUCUUUUUGUUAAUAAUUUAAAGUCUAAUCUGCCCACUGAAAAUUUAAAUGGCCGCGGUAUUUUGACCGUGCAAAGGUAGCAUAAUAAAUAGUUUUUUAAUUGAAAGCUGGAAUGAAUGAUUGAAUGAGAAAAUAACUGUCUCAAAUUUAUUUUUUUUGAAUUUUAUUUUUAAGUAAAAAAGCUUAAAUAAUGUUAGAAGACGAGAAGACCCUAUAGAGUUUAAUAAAUUUAUAUUUAUAAAUAAAUAGUUUUUAUUAUUUAAAGUAAAAUUUUUAUUUAGUUGGGGUGAUUAAAAAAUUAAAUUAACUUUUUUUUAUUAUAAACAUUAAUUUAUGAAUUUUUGAUCCAGAUUUUUUGAUUAAAAGAAUAAAUUAC
Molecule: ribosomal RNA, 870 nt
Filed under: Tenerus abbreviatus
Lineage: Eukaryota; Metazoa; Arthropoda; Insecta; Coleoptera; Cleridae
Description: partial 16S ribosomal RNA
Source: RNAcentral